This 301-nucleotide ribosomal RNA is filed under the name uncultured bacterium. Its description in RNAcentral is "partial 16S ribosomal RNA". It matches the Rfam family "Bacterial small subunit ribosomal RNA", at positions 509 to 809 of the family's 1533-position model. The record is from RNAcentral.
CAGUAGCCGCGGUAAUACGGAGGGUGCAAGCGUUAAUCGGAAUUACUGGGCGUAAAGCGCACGCAGGCGGUCUGACAAGUCAGAUGUGAAAUCCCCGGGCUUAACCUGGGAACUGCAUUUGAAACUGUCAGGCUGGAGUCUUGUAGAGGGGGGUAGAAUUCCAGGUGUAGCGGUGAAAUGCGUAGAGAUCUGGAGGAAUACCGGUGGCGAAGGCGGCCCCCUGGACAAAGACUGACGCUCAGGUGCGAAAGCGUGGGGAGCAAACAGGAUUAGAUACCCGUGUAGUCCCUGUCUCUUAUAA